AAGUAUGUUGAAGAAACAAUCACAAUAUAUCGACUUUUAUGAAGUGAUAAGAAAAACUACUAUAAAGUGAUAAAAACAUUUACUUGGAUUCAUGCAAUUUAGCGAAAAUAUGGUUAAAAUUAUCACCUUUAUUUUUGUUAAGAUUAUCUUUCUUUCUCUAUUUCUUUUUGUAAUGUUUUUUGAUAGGCCAAUAUGGUUUCAUCCAGUUAAAAAAUGUUAUUUACAUUCUGAUUGUCCAGAUGACAUGUGCAAACUUCCUUUAAGACAGUUUUGUAUUGAAAACACAUGUAGGUGUCGAUUCUAUACAUACCAAAUCCAAGAAAUUACGUAAACUCUCCUUUAGUUAUUGUAUAAGCAACCAAUAAAUGUUGUAAUUUUGUGUGUGUUGAAUUUAGCAUAUUUAACUAUGACUUUGUAAACUAAGUUUAGUUUUUCUUGUGAUAUAGACAAAUGUGAGUUUGAUAUACGUUUUCAUUUCAGUACCAAAUUUUUAUAAGAACUACGUGUGAUAUAAAAUAUUAGUCUUUGUUAAAAAAUAAGAAUAAAGAUUAAAUAGACAAAUUCAGAUAACCAACGUAAAUUUAAACUAAUGUUAUUAUAUACAAAAUUUAUUCACCUUUUAAGACGUACAAUUAUAACACUAAGUUACUAGACUAAAAAAAGAAAAGAAAAACUUUAUUUUUGGAUAAAUAAAUAUGAGUGAUAAGUUGUUAGAAAAAAGAAUUAUUAUUUAAGAAAAAAAAAACCUCGGCAUAGAUUAUAAAAUAUAUUAUAAAAUAUUUUCUAUAAUCUAUGACAAAGUUCUUUCUUCUUUUUUUUCUUAACUAGAAAUUUAUAAAAAUCUAAAAUAUGUUGUUUUUCUAGUGAGAAAAGGGGUCUCUUAUAUGAGAGUGAAAAUUAUUGACCAUUAAAUUAAAAGUUAAGGUUGAGAUUAAAUCACUCCACUAAAGUAUUCACGUGACUCUUCUCCUUCCACUUUCUUCUACUUUAUCUCUUGUAUUGUUGUUAAUCAUGGAGGAAUGGGUGAUGUUUCUUAUAUUUCUUUUUUUAUUUCUAUUAUAAAGAACAAUUCACCGCCAUGCAAUGUUCUUUAUACAAACAUUUGAUUUCCAUUAAUAAAAACUUGAUCCUUUCAUACAAACUGUUUGGUAUGUUAGUUAUAUUUUGAGAAUAAAAUAUAUUUCUAAAAAAAUAUGGAAAAAAAACAAGGCUGGAAAUUAAAGUGGCUAAAGAAAAUUUAUAUAAUUAGCACGUUUCAUUAAUAUAAUAAGAAACUUAUUCAUACCAUUGAAUAUGCUAAAUCUAUAUGUAAUAAACAUGAAAUUAUUAAUUUACUUAACAUAAAGUUGUUAAAAA
Molecule: long non-coding RNA, 1356 nt
Filed under: Lathyrus oleraceus (garden pea)
Lineage: Eukaryota; Viridiplantae; Streptophyta; Magnoliopsida; Fabales; Fabaceae
Description: Pisum sativum (pea) long non-coding RNA (PSAT_LNC036159)
Source: RNAcentral